This 481-nucleotide ribosomal RNA is filed under the name uncultured bacterium. RNAcentral describes it as "bacterial SSU rRNA". It matches the Rfam family "Bacterial small subunit ribosomal RNA", at positions 28 to 483 of the family's 1533-position model. The record is from RNAcentral.
GACGAACGCUGGCGGCGUGCCUAAUACAUGCAAGUAGGACGCACAGCCUAUACCGUAGCUUGCUACACCAUAGGCUGUGAGUUGCGAACGGGUGAGUAACGCGUAGGUAACCUGCCUAUUAGAGGGGGAUAACUAUUGGAAACGAUAGCUAAUACCGCAUAACAGUAUGUAACACAUGUUAGAUGCUUGAAAGAUGCAAUUGCAUCGCUAGUAGAUGGACCUGCGUUGUAUUAGCUAGUAGGUAGGGUAAUGGCCUACCUAGGCAACGAUACAUAGCCGACCUGAGAGGGUGAUCGGCCACACUGGGACUGAGACACGGCCCAGACUCCUACGGGAGGCAGCAGUAGGGAAUCUUCGGCAAUGGGGGGAACCCUGACCGAGCAACGCCGCGUGAGUGAAGAAGGUUUUCGGAUCGUAAAGCUCUGUUGUUAAGGAAGAACGAGUGUGAGAAUGGAAAGUUCAUACNGNGACGGNACUNACC